This 119-nucleotide ribosomal RNA is filed under the name Carassius auratus (goldfish). Lineage: Eukaryota; Metazoa; Chordata; Actinopteri; Cypriniformes; Cyprinidae. The record is from RNAcentral.
GCUUACGGCCAUACCAACCUGGCUAUGCCUGAUCUCGUCUGAUCUCGUAAGCUAAGCAGGUUUGGGCCUGGUUAGUACUUGGAUGGGAGACCGCCUGGGAAUACCAGGUGCUGUAAGCU